This 288-nucleotide long non-coding RNA is filed under the name Populus trichocarpa (black cottonwood). RNAcentral describes it as "long non-coding RNA (PTRI_LNC002246)". Lineage: Eukaryota; Viridiplantae; Streptophyta; Magnoliopsida; Malpighiales; Salicaceae. The record is from RNAcentral.
UAUGAUCUCAUGCGGUGCAUAAUUUGAUUCCAUGCAGGCAUUCAUUAUCCUUUCAUGCAUUAUAUCAGUGUCCGUGAACUUCAGCACGUUCAUGGUUAUUGGCAAGACCUCACCAGUCACAUAUCAAGUGCUUGGACACCUCAAGACUUGCCUUGUUCUUGCCUUUGGGUAUACUCUGCUGCAUGAUCCUUUCACGAUUAAAAACAUCAUUGGAAUUCUUGUUGCUAUUAUUGGCAUGGGCUUAUAUUCAUAUUUCUGCGUCCAAGACAACAAAAAGAAACAAUCAGU